GCCGGCAUAGCUCAGUUGGUAGAGCAACUGAUUUGUAAUCAGUAGGUCCCGGGUUCGACUCCUGGUGCCGGCAUCA
RNAcentral lists this transfer RNA (76 nucleotides) under Rhodanobacter sp. RNAcentral's name for it is "tRNA-Thr". It matches the Rfam family "tRNA". Rfam says of the family: Transfer RNA (tRNA) molecules are approximately 80 nucleotides in length. Their secondary structure includes four short double-helical elements and three loops (D, anti-codon, and T loops). Lineage: Bacteria; Pseudomonadati; Pseudomonadota; Gammaproteobacteria; Lysobacterales; Rhodanobacteraceae. The record is from RNAcentral.